Long non-coding RNA from Ochotona curzoniae (black-lipped pika), 386 nucleotides. RefSeq lists it as uncharacterized. Lineage: Eukaryota; Metazoa; Chordata; Mammalia; Lagomorpha; Ochotonidae. The record is from RefSeq and is a predicted model, not a curated record. The transcript is spliced from 3 exons.
UAGAAGCGGAGCAAUUAGGACCCCAGCCAGCACUCAUACAGGAUACCGGUGCUAUGAGGAAACUGGGACAUGAGGAGAUUAAGAGGCCUUUUCAAACUUCAUGAGCUUGUCAUGGAUUCAAACUCAGGAACAUAAAUGAGAAGAUUUGAGCUAGGGUAUCCACCUUGUGAUCAUGACAGGAAAGUCAGCGUUAUCACAGAUUUCUCCACCCUGUGGUCCUGGGCCUCUGAACUUCUGCCAGCAGCAUUUUCACUGACAUACCUUGUUCUCAGAGAAUAUUAUCCAAAAUGUGUGCUGUCACUGUGUAGGCAAUUUUUCUGUUCCUGAAAGCUGUCAACUAUUUCUGACUCAUUAAAGAGCUAAGUGAAAUAAUUCAUUGAGAAAAA